AGUGAACGCUGGCGGUAGGCCUAACACAUGCAAGUCGAACGGCAGCACAGUAAGAGCUUGCUCUUACGGGUGGCGAGUGGCGGACGGGUGAGGAAUACAUCGGAAUCUACUUUUUCGUGGGGGAUAACGUAGGGAAACUUACGCUAAUACCGCAUACGACCUACGGGGGAAAGCAGGGGAUCUUCGGACCUUGCGCGAAUGAAUGAGCCGAUGUCGGAUUAGCUAGUUGGCGGGGUAAAGGCCCACCAAGGCGACGAUCCGUAGCUGGUCUGAGAGGAUGAUCGGCCACACUGGAACUGAGACACGGUCCAGACUCCUACGGGAGGCAGCAGUGGGGAAUAUUGGACAAUGGGCGCAAGCCUGAUCCAGCCAUACCGCGUGGGUGAAGAAGGCCUUCGGGUUGUAAAGCCCUUUUGUUGGGAAAGAAAAGCAGCAGGUUAAUACCCCGCUGUUCUGACGGUACCCAAAGAAUAAGCACCGGCUAACUUCGUG
Molecule: ribosomal RNA, 492 nt
Filed under: uncultured bacterium
Lineage: Bacteria
Description: partial 16S ribosomal RNA
Rfam family: Bacterial small subunit ribosomal RNA
Source: RNAcentral